GAUGAACGCUGGCGGCGUGCCUAAUACAUGCAAGUCGAGCGAACAGACGAGGAGCUUGCUCCUCUGACGUUAGCGGCGGACGGGUGAGUAACACGUGGAUAACCUACCUAUAAGACUGGGAUAACUUCGGGAAACCGGAGCUAAUACCGGAUAAUAUAUUGAACCGCAUGGUUCAAUAGUGAAAGACGGUUUUGCUGUCACUUAUAGAUGGAUCCGCGCCGCAUUAGCUAGUUGGUAAGGUAACGGCUUACCAAGGCAACGAUGCGUAGCCGACCUGAGAGGGUGAUCGGCGACACUGGAACUGAGACACGGUCCAGACUCCUACGGAAGGCAGCAGUAGGGAAUCUUCCGCAAUGGGCGAAAGCCUGACGGAGCAGCGCCGCGUGAGUGAUGAAGGUCUUCGGAUCGUAAAACUCUGUUAUUAGGGAAGAACAAAUGUGUAAGUAACUAUGCACGGCUUGACGGUACCUAAUCAGAAAGCCACGGCUAACUACGUG
Molecule: ribosomal RNA, 497 nt
Filed under: uncultured bacterium
Lineage: Bacteria
Description: partial 16S ribosomal RNA
Rfam family: Bacterial small subunit ribosomal RNA
Source: RNAcentral